CUUGAUCGACCCGAGCCACAGCGGCCGGUCCCGGUCCCGCCCGUACGUGGUCAACAGCGCCUGGGCCUC
RNAcentral lists this antisense RNA (69 nucleotides) under Micromonospora auratinigra. RNAcentral describes it as "ASpks TB sRNA". It matches the Rfam family "ASpks TB sRNA". The record is from RNAcentral. Lineage: Bacteria; Bacillati; Actinomycetota; Actinomycetes; Micromonosporales; Micromonosporaceae.